Molecule: long non-coding RNA, 605 nt
Organism: Felis catus (domestic cat)
Lineage: Eukaryota; Metazoa; Chordata; Mammalia; Carnivora; Felidae
Exons: 3
Source: RefSeq, a predicted model, not a curated record
ACCUUUUGUGCCUACUGUGUAAUGAGAUAUAUCAGGCUUUGUAUAUCUUGGUUCUACUUGUGACUGGAUCCUGGGCUUCAGAAUAAAAAUAGAGGAUGCCAUGGUUUCCAGGAACUGAAGGGUUAACGAGGGAUGGCUAUAGGGACACAAUUAAAAAAACAAAACGAAAACACCUUAAAAGCAAGGGUCCUGGUUCAGACCCCUCUGGCUUUUAUUCUAUCCAGGUGGAGAAGGAAGUGAAGAAGGCUGCCUUGUUUUAGGGGCCAGGAGCUCGAUCUCAAACUAGGCUGCUGGAGGAGAACACGGAACCCAUAGCUUCGCUUCUAUUGCGUGAGAGCAGCACUCGGUUCUGGCGCAGAGCCUUUCUGUAUAAAUAGAAAGCGCUCAGUUGAGACUUCAGGACAAGAUUCUUCGUGGAGACUUUUUUCAGCUGUCAGCCACCACAGGCGUUAUCCAAAUGGGACGGGUGAAUCAGGUCAACAAACCAUCAGAUGUCACUGUGUGUUUCAGCCUGUGUCAUGGCAGAAAGAUAAGGCAAGAUCGAUAACAUGUUUAUUUUUGAGAGAGAAAGAGAGAGAGAGAGAAUAAGCGCGUGAGUGGAGGAG